UCACUAGUCCAUGGGGAAGGCAGACGAUAACUUUAGAUAAUCCAAUCAUUGGUGUUUAACAGACAACGUGGGUUUCAGUGCCAUGGCCUUUAACUGUGCUAAGCCAAUAGUCAACCCACCUUCACCUCUAUCAGCAGUGUCCCCAUCUCUUAUCCUUUCUUUGUCUUUCUGUUAAAUACUUUCUAUCUAGUACUUCUGCCCUCUGUAAAUCCAUUCAUAGCAUCUGAUGAAAUUGUCUCUGAAUUAAUUAGCCACCCUACCUUGCCUUCUGCCUAACUCUAAACUAACAUGGCUAACUACCUCUAUCACUAGCUUGUGACAGCAGAAAAAUGAGAAAACUAAAGCAAAGAUCUGCAGCUGGUGCUCUGUGGCUAGAAGACCCUUUCCCUAUCGGCAUGGCUCCUGGAAGCCCCAUCUGGCCCAGAGGCCAGGAGCAAGGCAGGAUGUGUCUGGAUGCCAGAGACAGAGCCAGACACACUCCCUGCCCCCAGAAGCAACCAGAUGCUUCUCCUGCCAGCCAGCGAGCCCAGGGAAGCAGCGUAGGCAUGCCUCAGCCAGGAUGCAAUAAGGAUGGGAGCACGCAUGCCUCAUCCAGGAAGCAGAUGGAGAAGAGCCAGGUGUGGCUCCAGCAGCCAGCUGGGAGCCAGUUCCACAUGCUAGGAGUGAGUGAUCCGGACUGAGCCAGCGGGGCCCACCAGCCCACAGAGUGUUGAGGCCCAGGGGCAACACUGAGCCUCUUGACUCCACUCACAGACAACCUGGUACAACAAUGAUCUCACUUGUCAUCGCAGCAGAAGGAUCACCCAGGGCAGCAACGGUCAGAUGGGUAUGAGAGAGUGCAGCCCAGUGGGCUCUGUGGGCACUUGGCAAGUGUAAGCCCUGGAGGUACAGCCCACAAAUCCCACCCACCCCCACAGUGUGGCUGCACACCUGAAGUGCUCCAACAGAGGACAACCUUGAUAUUCAGCCCUGAGCAAGCCCACCGGGGUUGAUGCCCUGGUACACUUGGCCAACUAGCUGGCUGGGCAAGUAGCCCAAAUGGCACAAAGGGUCAGAGGAAUGGACCCUCAAUCCCUGGUGCUCAAAAUCAAGCAGUUCAGCAUGGGGACAAUGGUACCCUGCCCACCACUCAGACUGAGCUACAUUACGUUGUUCUUGUGGUGGCAUUUUUUUUCUCGGAGAGUGGCAGGACCAUGGGGAGAUCCCUGUGGCACCUGUGCUCUGUCAAGCCAUUGUGUCAGAAAUGACCUGUGACUGUCAAGGUGCAGCCUAGAUAUACAAUAACACCCAUAUGGAAAGGGGUAGGGUGUAGGGGAGGAGAAGCCCCACUGAAGAUGCACCACAGAGGGCAUUCCUGAGCUGUGUAGGAACCACUGAGCAACAUCCCAGAGGUACCAGGAACAGCAAAGUCAUGGCAGAUGACUAGGUUCAGGUGCAGUCUUCCCUAGUUGACAUGGCAAGGGCCUGUCACAGAAGGAUUUGUUUGGUGUUGGUAUAAAAUGCUGUAGGAAUAGAUUUCAGGCCCAAUUACUUUGAACAGUCAUUUCAUUUCCAUUUACCCCACCCCUUAUUUAAAUUUAGCACAGCACAUGAAGUCAAAGUACCCAGCCUGCCAGGCUGUCCAUGGGCCCAGUAACCUGGCAGCAGGGGAGUAUGAGAGUCUGAAGGAUACCAACCUAGAGUUCAACCCCGGCCGGGAGCACGGAUCUCACCACACCAGGACAUCCAUGCUGUGACGGGAGCUUCCCAUCUGCACCAGCCAGGCUUUACCUCCUCGCCAGGUGAAGCGGAUUGGGGCUAAUCUGCAGUGCAAGCAAUAUCCAGGCACGGGAAAUGGAGCCAAGGGGGAAGAGAAGGGAGAAGACCGGGAGCAGGGGAUGCACGAGGAGGGUGGCGACAGCUGGGUGAGCUCUUGGCCGGAUUCCGAAAAGGAGGUAAUAUUCCCACCACUGGAGUGAAGAGGCAGUGGGAAGCUUAGUGGGGAGAGACCCAGGAAACAGUGGAGGUGGCAGAUCCACCCAAACCAGCUGCCGUGUGGUUCUUUUUUUCCCGUUUUUCCCCCCCUCCUUUUGAUGUUUCCAGUGUCUGCUUGAGACCCCGGACUGGGACCCAGCAUCCAUCUAUGCAGGUAAGCCUAGAAGAAGUCCCCAUCUCAUUAAGUGGCAGACACCACCAAUUAAGCCCCAGUGGAGGCAUCAGAGCAAGCCGUUGGCAGGCUUAAAGGGGCAGUGAAGCCCCAGCCAUCUGGGACUGGACUUUGAUAGCGUCCUGAGGGCAGGUGAAGACCAAGCCCUAGGACUUCAGUUAAAACCCAAAGAAAAGAAAAAAAAAAGAUAUAGUAAAAAAAAUUAAAAAGGAAAAGAGUAAAGAAAUUGGCCUCAUGUGGGUCCCUUCAUCAUUUUAUGCUGAGGCUUUGGGCACUGAGGCAACCCCGACGGUCAAUCCGGGUGUAGGACAGGUAGUCAUCAUCUCCCUUUCACAAACCUCUCUUUGUCAUCAAAGUCAUGGCAGGAGAAAAGAAAGGGCACCAGACCUCACCUGAAUCUACUUUAGGGGUUGCAGAUACCCUGAGGGGACCAGUAAAUGUCAGUGGGAAAUAGGGGUACACGCCUGUACCUGGUGACUACCCGACAACUUAGUGCAUUGGCUGGGAACUCCAACAACGGCCCAGAAGAAACAGAGAAGAUGGAAGUCCCCAUGGUAGCAGUUGCGGUGGGAAUGGACCUGGUCCAGCAGACACUGCAUUUACGGGACAGAUCCUCCAGCAACAGCAGCAACAAUCAGCACAACAGCUGGCCUUUGAAGAAAAUUGGAUCCAACAGCAGGCGUGCCAGCAGCGGAACGCAGUAGAACUAAAGAUCCCUAAGAUGAUGGUUCACAAUGAUCCAGAGAUGUUCCUUGGAAGCUUUGAAUGAGCGGCCCUGGCCACAGGACUAGAAAAGUCUCGGUGGGCUGGGAACCUUGGAGUCUUGCUGACUGGAAAGGCACAGGUAGCCUAUGGGUCCAUGUCACGAGAAGAGGCCAGGGACUAAGAUAAAGUCAAGAAAUAAAUGUUGAAUAGGCUAGAUGUUAACCCCGAAACUUAUCGUCAAGCUUUUAGGGCCUGGAAACCCCAUGAAACUAAGGAGCCAUGAGCGUUAUUACAGUGGCUGGCUAACCUGGUUUCCAAGUGGCUGAGGCCCCUGGAAAGUUCUAAAAGUGCAAUUUGAGACAAAAUUCUGCUGGAUCAGUUUCUAAACAACUUGGACAAAGAGACCCAGAGGUGGGUCCACUGUCACAGGCCAGGGUCAUCCACCAAGGCAUUGCAAUUGGCUGAAAAUUUCUGGAGUGCCCGAGGAGAGAGACUGUCAGAGUGAGGUCCCAGGGUGUCAGGACCCCUGAGACCCCAUGACAUCACCAGGCCAUUGAACUGGGAGCGACGGGAAAAUAGAAGUCCUGACAAAGGUGGGGUGGUCUGCUUCCAUUAUGGAAGGGCAGGGCACAUGUCCUGAGAGUGCACCUACACGUCACGAGCCCUCACACGGACCACGCAUUCGCCAUUCACAGAGUUGAGUGUAUCCUCAGGCCUGGUGGACUCCCCCGGAGCUGAAUCUAUGGAUUGUAGCGUGGAGAAAGAUGCAUUGGCAGGUCCUGGGCCGCGUCCAAUGGUCAACACUUGGGUUGGGGGUGAAAGAUUGGAAGCAAUCAUCGACACGGGCUGCUCCGAUACCUGCAUCCAAAGCAAGCUGGCCCCCUCCAUGUAUGUGCAAAAGGCCAACCCUGUGAAGAUGACAUGCAUGCAUGGGCAUAGUACUUUUUACCCACGGUGGGUUUAUGAGGUCAUGGUACUGGGCACCACUCGAGAGAUGCCAAUCAGGCUGGCAAGGGACCUACCAUACCCCAUGAUCCUGGGGUGGGAUUGGCACAAAAUUUAUGAGGUACUCAAGGUGACAAGAAAUGUUGGUGUAGGAGGGGUUGGACUGGCUGAAGACACAACUGAAGACCUUGACCUCGAACAGCUGACAGGCAACAGAGCUUUCCGAAAGGCCCAGGAGGAAGAGUGAGAAUUCCAGUCUAUAUGAGAAACAGAGCUGGCGAAGGUGGAAGACGAAGUAGUAGACCCGGCCUGCUAUGCACACCUCCCCCGAUUUGAGGUUAGAGAUGGUUUAUUGUACCGGGUGAAACAGGGCCCUUCAGAGGGAAUGGAGAUAGCUCAAUUACUGAUACCUAACCAGUUUAGGCUUCCCCUCCUGAAGCUAGCACACGGGAACCCAAUGGGGGAGCAUAUGGGGGCCCAUAAGAUGGAAGCUAGAUUAACCAGGUGGUAUUUCUGAGCCGGACUGUACAACUAGGUUGAGAAGUUUUGUUGUGCCUGCCCUGCAUGUCAGAUGGUGAGUGGGAACCGGCCAGCACAAGACUACGCAAUCCGGUUCCCGGAAGCAGUCCUGAUGCGGUCAGUCACGGGGCCCCAUGUGGUGGAAGAACUUAUGAAAUGGAUAGUCCAGGUAGGCAUCCCUAAAGAAAUUGUCACCGAUCAAGGGUCUAACUUUAUGUUGGAAGUCAUCCGCAGUUUGUGUAGGUUCCUGCAAAUCACACAUCUUCACACAACCAUCUACCACCCACAGACUAAUGGGAUGGUAGAGAGGUUUAACCAGACCCUGAAGAAUAUGCUGAGACGGUAUGUACAGGUAGAACCCCGGCGGUGGGACCUGAUGGUUCCACCAUUGUUAUAUGUGGCACGGGAGGCCCCUCAGUCAUCAUUAGGGUGUUCCCCAUUCGAUCUGGUAUACAGGCACUGGCCCAGAGGCCUGUUAGAUCUAGUCAAGGAAGGGUGGGAAGCCAGACAGGAGGAAGAACUGAACUCCUCAGAAUAUGUGCAGAGCUUGCAAUGGCAUCUAUGGAGGGCAGGAGAACUGGCCCAUGAGUGCCUGAGAGCAGUCCAACAAUCUCAGAAAUCUGCAUAUGAUAAAAGGGCCCAAGAAAGGGGACUCCGGGAAGGCCAAAAAGUCUUGGUAUUACUCCCUGACACCAAGAAUAUGCUUACAAAGUGUUGGCAAGGGCCUUUUGUGAUAACUCGCCAAGUAGGUCCCGUAGACUAUGAGGUUCUUAAGCCAGGAUCUUGAAGGGUGAGGCAAAUUUACCAUAUUAACCUCCUUAAAAAAUGGUGGGAGCAGGAAGGCCUGUUAAUUACCCCAUCUCUGCCAGAGGACAAAUUCGGCUGAGAGUUAGGUCCCAGUGCGGGAUUAGAGGCUGGUGAUCUAGUUGUCCUGGUCGGGUUCCAACUUGACCUGAGACAACGGCAUCAGAUAGAGGCCUUGGUAAAAGAGUUCUGCAAUGUCUUUAGUGAAAAUCCCAGGUGUGCAACAGAGAUAACCCAUUGCAUAGUUACACCCCCAGGGCAAGUUGUCAGGGAAAAGUGGAGGAGGAUUCCUCAUGAGGCCAUCCGCACCAAAUUAGCUAAAAUGCUGGAACAGGCCAUAAUCCAAGAGUCACGGAGUCCCUGGCAGAGCCCCAUCAUCGUGGUUACCAAGCCUGAUGGAUCCAUCUGACUAUGUAUCGACUUUAGGAAAGUGAACACCAUUUCCAAGUUUGAUGCCUUCCUGAUGCCCCAGAUCAGUGAGCUUCUUGAGAGAGUGGAGCAAGCCCGGUUUAUCUCCACCCUAGAGCUGUCCAAGGGAUAUUGGAAGACAGGGCCAAGACAGCCUUUGGCACCCUGUGGGGGUUAUAUGAGUUCAGAAGAAUUCCCUUUGGGUUGCACGGAGUGGCUGCUACUUUCCAACGAUUAGUUGAUUGGGUGUUAGCCCCGCACCAACAAUACUCGGCCGCUUAUAAAGACGACAUCAUAAUCUGUACCCAGGAAUGGGAAGAACACCUCAAAGCAGUGAGAGCAGUGCUGUGCAAGUUACACCAAGUUGGUCUAACAGCCAACCCCAAGAAAUGCGUCCUGGGUAAGGCAGAGACCAAGUACCUGGGAUUUUUGGUAGGGCGAGGGCAAGUCCAAUCGCUAGCUAAUAAAGUAGAGGCCUUACGUCAGUUCAAGCCACCACAAAACCGCAGGCAACUGAGGGCCUUCCUGGGACUAGCCGGAUAUUACAGGUGAUUUAUACCUGAGUUCGCCAAUAUCACCGCACCCCUCACUGACCUGUUACAACAGAAAAGAGGAGGUUCUCUCUCAUAGAACGCAGAAAGCACCCUCGCCUUUGAACGCACCAAGAGGGCCCUCUGCCAUGAGGCAGUAUUAAGCACCCCAAAUUUUUAAUUGCUUUUCACCUUACAGACGGAUGCAUUGGAACGAGCCAUGCUGUCCCAGGAAAUUGAUGGAGCCUCCUGACCUGUGGUCUAUGCCAGCUGGAAACUAAGUCCACGUGAAAGAAGAUCUCACGAGGACAAAGACAGAAAAGAGCCCGGGGUGGCAAACAUAGAUCCAGUCAUGUUGAGGACCCCAAACAUGAGUACGCCUAAUGUGUCUGCUUGAGAGCCUGGACCAGGACCCGGCAUCCAUCCACGCAGGUGGGCCUAGAAGAAGUCCCCAUCUCAUUAAGUGGCAGACACCACCAAUUAAGCCCUGGCAGAGGCAUCAGCAACAAAGUAUCUAGGGGAGUCCCUGGCGGAGAGCAAGCCGCCAGCAGGCUUAAAGGGGCAGAGAAGCCCCAGCCAUCUGGGACUGGACUUUGAUGGUGUCCCGACAGCAGGCGAAGGCCAAGCCCUAGGACUUCAGUUAAAACCCAAAGAAAAGAAAAAAG
Molecule: long non-coding RNA, 6722 nt
Organism: Alligator mississippiensis (American alligator)
Lineage: Eukaryota; Metazoa; Chordata; Crocodylia; Alligatoridae
Exons: 3
Source: RefSeq, a predicted model, not a curated record